AGUGAACGCUGGCGGUAGGCCUAACACAUGCAAGUCGAACGGCAGCACAGUAAGAGCUUGCUCUUACGGGUGGCGAGUGGCGGACGGGUGAGGAAUACAUCGGAAUCUACUUUUUCGUGGGGGAUAACGUAGGGAAACUUACGCUAAUACCGCAUACGACAUACGGGUGAAAGCAGGGGAUCUUCGGACCUUGCGCGAUUGAAUGAGCCGAUGUCGGAUUAGCUAGUUGGCGGGGUAAAGGCCCACCAAGGCGACGAUCCGUAGCUGGUCUGAGAGGAUGAGCAGCCACACUGGAACUGAGACACGGACCAGACUCCUACGGGAAGCAAGAGUGGGGAAUAUUGGGCAAUGGGCGCGAGCCUGAUCCAGCCAUACCGCGUAGGUGAAAAAGGCCUUCGGGUUGUAAAGGCCUUUUGUUGGGAAAGAAAAGCAGCAGGUUAAAACCCCGCUGUUCUGACGGUACCCAGAGAAUAAACACCGGCUAACUUCGUG
RNAcentral lists this ribosomal RNA (492 nucleotides) under uncultured bacterium. RNAcentral's name for it is "partial 16S ribosomal RNA". It matches the Rfam family "Bacterial small subunit ribosomal RNA", at positions 29 to 507 of the family's 1533-position model. The record is from RNAcentral.